RNAcentral lists this ribosomal RNA (490 nucleotides) under Lysobacteraceae bacterium 'ARUP UnID 393'. RNAcentral describes it as "bacterial SSU rRNA". It matches the Rfam family "Bacterial small subunit ribosomal RNA", at positions 27 to 506 of the family's 1533-position model. Lineage: Bacteria; Pseudomonadati; Pseudomonadota; Gammaproteobacteria; Lysobacterales; Lysobacteraceae. The record is from RNAcentral.
GAGUGAACGCUGGCGGCAGGCCUAACACAUGCAAGUCGAACGGCAGCGCGAGAGAGCUUGCUCUCUUGGCGGCGAGUGGCGGACGGGUGAGGAAUACGUCGGAAUCUGCCUAUUUGUGGGGGAUAACGUAGGGAAACUUACGCUAAUACCGCAUACGUCCUACGGGAGAAAGCAGGGGACCUUCGGGCCUUGCGCAGAUAGAUGAGCCGACGUCGGAUUAGCUAGUUGGGGGGGUAAUGGCCCACCAAGGCGACGAUCCGUAGCUGGUCUGAGAGGAUGAUCAGCCACACUGGAACUGAGACACGGUCCAGACUCCUACGGGAGGCAGCAGUGGGGAAUAUUGGACAAUGGGCGCAAGCCUGAUCCAGCCAUGCCGCGUGGGUGAAGAAGGCCUUCGGGUUGUAAAGCCCUUUUGUUGGGAAAGAAAAGCAUUCGGUUAAUACCCGGGUGUCAUGACGGUACCCAAAGAAUAAGCACCGGCUAACUUCGU